RNAcentral lists this ribosomal RNA (515 nucleotides) under uncultured fungus. RNAcentral describes it as "SSU rRNA". It matches the Rfam family "Eukaryotic small subunit ribosomal RNA", at positions 209 to 726 of the family's 1831-position model. Lineage: Eukaryota; Fungi. The record is from RNAcentral.
AUUAGAUUAAAAACCAAUGCCCUUCGGGCUCUCUGGUGAUUCAUAAUAACUUCUCGAAUCGCACAGCCUUGCGCUGGCGAUGGUUCAUUCAAAUUUCUGCCCUAUCAACUUUCGACGGCUGGAUCUUGGCCAGCCAUGGUGACAACGGUAACGGAGGGUUAGGGCUCGACCCCGGAGAAGGAGCCUGAGAAACGGCUACUACAUCCAAGGAAGGCAGCAGGCGCGCAAAUUACCCAAUCCCGACACGGGGAGGUAGUGACAAUAAAUACUGAUACAGGGCUCUUUUGGGUCUUGUAAUUGGAAUGAGUACAAUUUAAAUCCCUUAACGAGGAACAAUUGGAGGGCAAGUCUGGUGCCAGCAGCCGCGGUAAUUCCAGCUCCAAUAGCGUAUAUUAAAGUUGUUGAGGUUAAAAAGCUCGUAGUUGAACCUUGGGCCUAGCCGGCCGGUCCGCCUCACCGCGUGCACUGGCUCGGCUGGGCCUUUCCUUCUGGAGAACCUCAUGCCCUUUACUGGG